RNAcentral lists this ribosomal RNA (443 nucleotides) under uncultured bacterium. Its description in RNAcentral is "partial 16S ribosomal RNA". It matches the Rfam family "Bacterial small subunit ribosomal RNA", at positions 338 to 795 of the family's 1533-position model. The record is from RNAcentral.
CCUACGGGUGGCAGCAGUGGGGGAUAUUGGACAAUGGGCGCAACCCUGACCCAGCAACGCCGCGUGGAUGAAGUAUGCUUUCUGGGUGUAAACUUCUUUUCGCAGGGACGAAGCAAGUGACUGUCCCUGUGGGAUAAGCCACGGCUUACUACGUCACAGCUGCCGCGGGAAUACGGAGGUGGCAAGCGUUAUCCUGCUUUACUGGGUGUAAAGGGCGUGUAGGCGGGAAAGCAAGUCAGAUGUAAAAACCCUGGGCCCACACCGUGGCCUGCAUUUGAAACUGUUCUUCUUGAGUGCAGGAGGGGCAGGCGGAAUUCCUGGUGGAGCGGUGAAAUGCGUAGAUAUCAGGAGGAACACCGGUGGGGAAGGCGGCCUGCUGGACUGCGACUGACGGUGAGGCCCGAAAGCGUGGGGAGCAAACAGGAUUAGAUACCCCUGUAGUC